AAAUUCAAGUCAUAUGCUUUCAUCUUCACGACCUCAUAAUUAACUUUCCAUUGUGAGAUCUCCUCAGGUUAUAGCUACUGAUUAAGAGGGGAAAGGUUGAGGAGAAAGUGAAGGGCAGGGAAUUACAUGCUCCCUUUCCUUUUACAGGCACUUCCUUUACAGCAGGUUUGCCAUUGCAUUGCUUGGGAAAGGCAGAGAGUUUGCGUAUGAGAUCACAGAGAGUAAUGAAUCAAGGGGUUUGCAGGGACCGCUGAACUAGGAUGACAGGAUUUGGAACCUGAGAGUUGGUGCUCUUUGUUUGUUGUGGCCUAUCAUCAGUCAAUUCCAGUGUGUAGGUUAAUAAGGCUUAAACUUUAAAGGAACGGUGAGCACCUGAUUGACAAGUCUGUGAAUAAAAGUGCAGUGGGAAGUUUUGUGUUUGUGACG
This 426-nucleotide long non-coding RNA is filed under the name Anas platyrhynchos platyrhynchos (common mallard). Its description in RNAcentral is "lncRNA (ENSAPLG00000016489.1)". Lineage: Eukaryota; Metazoa; Chordata; Aves; Anseriformes; Anatidae. The record is from RNAcentral.